CCUACGGGUAGCAGCAGUGAGGAAUAUUGGUCAAUGGGCGAGAGCCUGAACCAGCCAAGUCGCGUGAGGGAGUACUGCCCUAUGGGUUGUAAACCUCUUUUGUCGGGGAGCAAAAGCCGGACGUGUCCGGCUGUGAGAGUACCCGCAGAAACAGCAUCGGCUAACUCCGUGCCAGCAGCCGCGGUAAUACGGAGGAUGCGAGCGUUAUACGGAUGUAUUGGGGUUAAAGGGGGCGCAGGCGGAUUUUUAAGUCAGCGGUCAAAUCGUGGGGCUCAACCCCAUCCAGCCGUGGAAACUGGGGAUCUAGAGUGUGCGAGAGGUAUGCGGAAUGCGUGGUGUAGCGGUGAAAUGCAUAGAUAUCACGCAGAACCCCGGUUGCGAAGGCAGCAUACCGGUGCACAACUGACGCUCAGGCACGAAAGCGUGGGUAUCGAACAGGAUUAGAUACCCCUGUAGUC
This 458-nucleotide ribosomal RNA is filed under the name uncultured bacterium. Its description in RNAcentral is "partial 16S ribosomal RNA". It matches the Rfam family "Bacterial small subunit ribosomal RNA", at positions 338 to 795 of the family's 1533-position model. The record is from RNAcentral.